GCCCAAUGAUGAGACCAAGGCGAAUACGAGCUAACUGAAUGAGAGUUGGGUUCUUCUUGCCUUGACUGGCAGGUAAUCUUGGCAGUGCAGAGGAGGAUUCCUGCUCUGCUGUAAGGGCCUGCCUACAGUGACUUGGCUCAACCCAAAUUAUUCCUCUACAGUCACAGCGGUGUAAUUGCUGGUAUGAAGCUGACAGUGUGUCCUGUCUGUGUCUCUUUAUGUGCAUGUUUAAGGGGCAAGGAGUUGACCCAGCUCUUUUUGCUGUUCUGUUAGCAAUGAGUUAUUUCUUUGGUAAUCUGAGGGCA
Small nucleolar RNA from Micropterus dolomieu (smallmouth bass), 305 nucleotides. Lineage: Eukaryota; Metazoa; Chordata; Actinopteri; Centrarchiformes; Centrarchidae. The record is from RefSeq and is a predicted model, not a curated record.